UACGUAGGGGGCGAGCGUUGUCCGGAUUUAUUGGGCGUAAAGAGCUCGUAGGCGGUUGGGCAAGUCACGUGUGAAAUCUCCACGCUCAACGUGGAGGCGCCACGUGAGACUGCCCUGACUGGAGUCCGGUAGGGGAGCGUGGAAUUCCCGGUGUAGCGGUGAAAUGCGCAGAGAUCGGGAGGAACACCAGUGGCGAAGGCGGCUCACUGGUCCGGUACUGACGCUGAGGUGCGAAAGCGUGGGGAGCAAACAGG
Molecule: ribosomal RNA, 254 nt
Filed under: uncultured bacterium
Lineage: Bacteria
Description: partial 16S ribosomal RNA
Rfam family: Bacterial small subunit ribosomal RNA
Source: RNAcentral